GGAGAGGUGGCAGAGUGGUCGAAUGCGCUACCUUGGAAAGGUAGUGUGCGAGUAAUCGUACCGCGGGUUCGAAUCCCGCCCUCUCCG
This 87-nucleotide transfer RNA is filed under the name Candidatus Kaiserbacteria bacterium. RNAcentral's name for it is "tRNA-Ser". It matches the Rfam family "tRNA". Rfam says of the family: Transfer RNA (tRNA) molecules are approximately 80 nucleotides in length. Lineage: Bacteria; Candidatus Kaiseribacteriota. The record is from RNAcentral.